This 254-nucleotide ribosomal RNA is filed under the name uncultured bacterium. RNAcentral describes it as "partial 16S ribosomal RNA". It matches the Rfam family "Bacterial small subunit ribosomal RNA", at positions 524 to 776 of the family's 1533-position model. The record is from RNAcentral.
UACGGGGGGAGCAAGCGUUGUUCGGAUUUACUGGGCGUAAAGGGCGCGUAGGCGGCCACGCCAGGUCAGUUGUGAAAUCUCUGGGCUUAACUCAGAACGGUCAACUGAUACUGUCGGGCUAGAGUGCAGAAGGGGCAACUGGAAUUCUCGGUGUAGCGGUGAAAUGCGUAGAUAUCGAGAGGAACACCUGCGGCGAAGGCGGGUUGCUGGGCUGACACUGACGCUGAGGCGCGAAAGCUAGGGGAGCAAACGGG